This 540-nucleotide ribosomal RNA is filed under the name uncultured bacterium. Its description in RNAcentral is "bacterial SSU rRNA". It matches the Rfam family "Bacterial small subunit ribosomal RNA", at positions 355 to 896 of the family's 1533-position model. The record is from RNAcentral.
UGAGGAAUAUUGGUCAAUGGACGGAAGUCUGAACCAGCCAAGUAGCGUGCAGGAUGACGGCCCUAUGGGUUGUAAACUGCUUUUGUAUGGGGAUAAAGUUAGGGACGUGUCCCUAUUUGCAGGUACCAUACGAAUAAGGACCGGCUAAUUCCGUGCCAGCAGCCGCGGUAAUACGGAAGGUCCAGGCGUUAUCCGGAUUUAUUGGGUUUAAAGGGAGCGUAGGCUGGAGAUUAAGUGUGUUGUGAAAUGUAGACGCUCAACGUCUGAAUUGCAGCGCAUACUGGUUUCCUUGAGUACGCACAACGUUGGCGGAAUUCGUCGUGUAGCGGUGAAAUGCUUAGAUAUGACGAAGAACUCCGAUUGCGAAGGCAGCUGACGGGAGCGCAACUGACACUUAAGCUCGAAGGUGCGGGUAUCAAACAGGAUUAGAUACCCUGGUAGUCCGCACAGUAAACGAUGGAUGCCCGCUGUUGGUACCUGGUAUCAGCGGCUAAGCGAAAGCAUUAAGCAUCCCACCUGGGGAGUACGCCGGCAACGGUG